CUUGUGUUCGGUUCUGUCUAUUGACACCAAGCCUAGGCUAGACGGAACUUCAUGAUCAUUUAAUGGAAUGCUCAAAACCCAUGCUAGUUGUUCAGGAAUCUUUUUGAAUCAAAGCAAGCUAACAUGUGUGAUGCUAUAGAGAAAUGUUUUUGCACAAUGCAAUGUUGCAUGAAUCACGAGUGAUGAAAGCUUUCUUCAUUUACUCGUCUGGUUAUAUAUUGGACUUUGUGAUGCUUUAUUCAUUGAAGUAUCUAUUAUUCCUUGCACUAAUGAUAACAUUGAGCAACAAACCUGGAUUAUUAAUGAGAUUAGAUUGUUAUACAUGGUAGCUGCUGCAGUUCCGCUUUUAUAUGCAAUUUGCAUGUACAAGGAUUAUGAAAUAUUAAACCAUAGGAUGCUGCUAACUCUAAUGGACAGAAUAAGCAAUAUGAAAAUGCAAAAUGGAGCAUGGCUAUAUGGAUUAAUUCAAGUGACAUCAAGUGACCCUGAACCCUUUGCUUAUGACUUUGACAGAAGCAUUAUUAUGAAUGAUUGGUAUCACCAGAGUACUAAUGAAUAAACCAUUGGAUUGUCUUCAAAUCCUUUUGUAUGGUUGAGGAGACCACAGUCAUAUGAUUACAUCUGAAAAGGAUAAGACAAAGCCAAAGUAUCCCCUGUCAGUUACACAUUCUUAACAUAAAUGGCAGUGUUAUAGAGAAAACAAUCAUGAAAUAAUUAAAAGAGAAUCAAAGGGAGUGAUCCAGCCGUGGGGUUAUCAACAGGCAGAAGUUCAAAGGUGGCAGUGUAAAACAUACACCAGAAAUCCUACCUCAUUUCAGUUACGUUUGAGAAAAGUCAGCCAUGAAUGUGCAUAAAAGAGAUGCAUGGUAGUGUUAUUGCUAUAUCAGUUACAGUUAGCAUAAUGGCUAGCAGUUAUUUGGGGCAUCCUAACAGGUGCUCUGAAUCAGUAGGCAAAAGAGAGCCCAAAGGAUGUCAAUCAGGUAAUCAUCGUUUCAGUUACUAAAUAUCAGUAGUCAUAGGCAGAUUUAAUACAGUAAUCAGUAUGCAAUAAUCAGCAUGAGCAAGCAAUCAUUAGGCAGUUUCAAAACACAAGGGUCAGGAUUAUUCCUGACUUUCAAUUAGCAACCCAAAGAGCACCACUACUCAGCUAUAAAAGGAGAGGCAUUACAACCAGAAAAGGGGGGUUCACCACACGAAAAUUAGAGAAAACAGAGCAUAUAUGCAGUGCUGUAAGGAUAAACAACACAGUGAGAGAGGCCAAAUCUCCUCUCAAAAUUCUAACACUACAGCACCUUCUUAGUCAGAAUUUCUCAAUCAACCCCACUAAAACUUGUCGUCCUCUCUUUAUCCUAUCAUCCCCAAAAAUUCCAUGAUACCAUACAUAUAUCAUAUACACUGCACUCAGCAAAAAAAAAGAGAUAACAGCAUAAAGAUUGACAAAAAAAUCAGAGGGCACUCAGUGAAAAAAACAGAGAAGAGAGUUAGUAAAAAAGGAGUAACGCACGAAGAAAGUUCACUUAUCAUACCAAUUCAUACGACCAUAACCGGAAAGUAACCACAAUACAUACAUUCAGGCAAAAGCAACCCAGGGAUAGAGUUAUAAGUCAAGAAUGCAGUGACACAUAUAGCAACACAAAGCAUACAGCCAGGUAAGCAUUCCAACCAUAAAAAUUAUUUUGUGAACAUACCUUGCUUUAUAUGAUAUACGUGCUAGGCUUGGAUGCUUAAUUCAUCAUUAUCUUUAAUCAAGCAUACCCAUUGGUCUCAACAUAAUGUAUCUACUUAAGUAAAAAAAAAUUAAUUAAGAAUGAAAUUGAUGAUGCAAUGCGAAAACCUUAAGGUAGCAUAAUUCGUUUUGUAUGAUCCUUGUUCUCUCAAACCAGUCUUUCAUCAUUCAAACUCCAUAAUAUAAAGUUAAAUAGAAGAGGGAUAAAAUUCCUCACCGAAUUGUUGCCUCUGCCGGUUCCGAAUCACGAAUGCUCUUCUUCUCCCAACACAACACCCUCCUCGGUACCACCUCUUCAACCCAACCUCAUGAGCCUCUGUCACCACCGAGUGUCACCUUGAACCACCGCAUCUCACCGUGAACCACCUUUGGCCGUGAUUGUUGUUCAUCGCCGCUGGAGGACGAAAGUCAGUCACCGUCGCGCCCUCAUUUACCACCAUCGCGAAUCAGACCUGCCUCGUUCUAGCCACGAACGAUGCUCCUUAUCGCCGCCGCUGCCAUUGAAGGUGGAGAAGAAGAGGAGAUUUGGGAAUUUAUCCCCAUUCUUCCAGGCUAGGGAUUCUAAUCCCUCAUUCACGUGAAACAAGGGUUAACCCCUUUCUUUUUUUC
Molecule: long non-coding RNA, 2335 nt
Filed under: Lupinus angustifolius (narrow-leaved blue lupine)
Lineage: Eukaryota; Viridiplantae; Streptophyta; Magnoliopsida; Fabales; Fabaceae
Description: long non-coding RNA (LANG_LNC003080)
Source: RNAcentral